UCUGGCCCCUCUGUCCAUCCUGUUCUGAAUUUGGGUGGGAAGCAGCGGGAUCCUAAAACAAACCAAUUAUGAAACAAUGGAUGGCCAGUGUUUCUAUGGAAACAGAAAGCAAGUUAGUGGAUGCCAGGGGUCGGGGGCAGGGAGAAAGGAAUGCGGAGUACUACGUGGACUGAACAGUGUUCCCCCAAAAUUCGUAGAUGGAAGCUAACUCCCGGUGUGACUAUAUUUGAAGAUUAGGACUGGGAUGUGGGUAACUAAGAUUAAAUGGGGCCAUGGGAGCGGGGCCCUGAUACAAUAGGAUUAGGGCCCUCCUAUGAAGAGAUACCAGGGAGCUUGCUCUCUUUCUCUCUGAGCGUGCACAAACAGGUCACAUGAGCACACAGGCAGUGCCUACAAGCCCAGAGAAGAAACCUCAGAAUGAAAUCUACUUUGCCAGCACCUUGAUGUUGGGACUUCUCAGGCUCCAGAACUCUCAGAUCUUCCACCAAGAAUCUCACGAUUCAUUCAAGAGCCCAACCCAGGACAGGUAUUCAGAGCCAUGCUAAAAAAGUACGUACCCAAAGC
Acinonyx jubatus (cheetah) is the source of this 564-nucleotide long non-coding RNA. RefSeq lists it as uncharacterized. The record is from RefSeq and is a predicted model, not a curated record. NCBI's taxonomy places the organism in Eukaryota, Metazoa, Chordata, Mammalia, Carnivora, Felidae. The transcript has 3 exons.